RNAcentral lists this microRNA precursor (117 nucleotides) under Hordeum vulgare. RNAcentral's name for it is "microRNA MIR1122". It matches the Rfam family "MIR1120/MIR1122 microRNA precursor family". Lineage: Eukaryota; Viridiplantae; Streptophyta; Magnoliopsida; Poales; Poaceae. The record is from RNAcentral.
UUAGUAUUCCCUCCGUCCUAAAAUUCUUGUCUUAGAUUUGUUUAGAUACAUAGUAUUUAGAUACAUUCGUUUCUAGACAAAGUUAAGACAAGAAUUUUAGGACGGAGGAAUUAUUUU